GCUUGUCUCAAAGAUUAAGCCAUGCACGUCUGAGAAUAAAGAGUUUUCUCUGAAUCUGCGAAUGGCUCAUUAUAUCAGUUAUAGUUUAUUUGAUAGUCCUUUACUACUUGGAUAACCGUAGUAAUUCUAGAGCUAAUACAUGCUGUUUUGCCUGACUCUGUGGUAAGGCUGUGCUUAUUAGUACCAGAACCAACCCAAGUUCUGCUUGGUUGCAUCCUGAUUCAUAAUAAACGAAUGGAUUGCAUGCUUUGGCUGGCAAUGUAGCAUCUAAGUUUCUGACCUAUCAGCUUCCGACGGUAAGGUAUUGGCUUACCGU
Molecule: ribosomal RNA, 316 nt
Filed under: uncultured fungus
Lineage: Eukaryota; Fungi
Description: partial small subunit ribosomal RNA
Rfam family: Eukaryotic small subunit ribosomal RNA
Source: RNAcentral